UACGUAGGGAGCAAGCGUUGUCCGGAAUCAUUGGGCGUAAAGCGCGCGUAGGCGGCCCCGUAAGUCCGCUGUGAAAGUCAAAGGCUCAACCUUUGAAAGCCGGUGGAUACUGUGGGGCUAGAGUCCGGAAGAGGCGAGUGGAAUUCCUGGUGUAGCGGUGGAAUGCGCAGAUAUCAGGAGGAACACCGAUGGCGAAGGCAGAUCUCUGGGCCGUAACUGACGCUGAGGAGCGAAAGCAUGGGGAGCGAACAGG
RNAcentral lists this ribosomal RNA (253 nucleotides) under uncultured bacterium. Its description in RNAcentral is "partial 16S ribosomal RNA". It matches the Rfam family "Bacterial small subunit ribosomal RNA", at positions 524 to 776 of the family's 1533-position model. The record is from RNAcentral.